This is a non-coding RNA of Pseudonaja textilis, 100 nucleotides long. The record is from RefSeq and is a predicted model, not a curated record. NCBI's taxonomy places the organism in Eukaryota, Metazoa, Chordata, Lepidosauria, Squamata, Elapidae.
GAAAUGUAUCAAUCCAUGAAAACAGAUGGAUUCAGAUUGAUUUAGAUGGGACAAUCAUGUGUCUUAAUAGGAGAGGUGUGUAACUGAGUUCAAGCAUGUU